UAACCGUAGUACCAAGUAAGAAAGAAAAAUGUAUAAGUUAUUAGCUGUCCUCCUUGUAGUAGCUGCACUUGGAUGUGCUGUGAAUGGAUGCGUGUGUCCAAGGACAUACCUUCCUGUGUGCUCCAGUCUGGGAAACUCGUAUGCCAACAGCUGUACCUUUUCAUGCUUUGCUGCUGAAGGCGAAACAUUCGCCUGUGAUGGCUCUUGCCCUUGUGCGACAUAGAUUUCUGAAUUGAAAAGGU
Mytilus trossulus (common blue mussel) is the source of this 242-nucleotide long non-coding RNA. RefSeq lists it as uncharacterized. NCBI's taxonomy places the organism in Eukaryota, Metazoa, Mollusca, Bivalvia, Mytilida, Mytilidae. The record is from RefSeq and is a predicted model, not a curated record. The transcript has 3 exons.